AGGCCAUAUCACGUAGAAACACCGGUUCUCAUACGAUUAUGGAAGUUAAGCAACGUCGAUCCUUGUCAGUACCUAAAUGGGUGACCGCUUGGGAAUACCAGGUGCUGUAAG
Non-coding RNA from Acanthosepion pharaonis, 111 nucleotides. The record is from the annotation of a GenBank genome assembly. NCBI's taxonomy places the organism in Eukaryota, Metazoa, Mollusca, Cephalopoda, Sepiida, Sepiidae.